AGAGUUUGAUCAUGGCUCAGAACGAACGCUGGCGGCGUGCUUAACACAUGCAAGUCGAGUGCGCGCCUGUAGCAAUACAGGUGGCGCACGGCGCACGGGUGCGUAACACGUGGGUAAUCUGCCCUCUGAUGGGGAAUAACUCGCCGAAAGGCGAGCUAAUUCCGCAUAACAUUCCGGGAACCUUGGUUCUUGGACUCAAAGGCGUAAGUCGUCGGAGGAGGAGCCCGCGCACGAUUAGCUAGUUGGUGAGGUAAUGGCUCACCAAGGCUAUGAUCGUUAGCUGGUCUGAGAGGAUGGCCAGCCACACUGGAACUGAGACACGGUCCAGACUCCUACGGGAGGCAGCAGUGGGGAAUCUUGCACAAUGGGCGAAAGCCUGAUGCAGCGACGCCGCGUGGGGGAUGAAGCUUCUCGGAGUGUAAACCCCUUUCGACCCGGACGAAUACCUCGCAAGAGGGGUGACGGUACGGGUAUAAGAAGCCCCGGCUAACUACGUGCCAGCAGCCGCGGUAAGACGUAGGGGGCCAGCGUUGUUCGGAAUUACUGGGUGUAAAGGGUUCGUAGGCGGUGUGGCAAGUCGGGAGUGAAAUCUCUGGGCUCAACCCAGAGUCUGCUUCCGAAACUGCUGUGCUUGAGUGUGGGAGAGGCGCGUGGAAUUGCAGGUGUAGCGGUGAAAUGCGUAGAUAUCUGCAGGAACACCCGUGGCGAAAGCGGCGCGCUGGACCACUACUGACGCUGAGGAACGAAAGCUAGGGGAGCAAACAGGAUUAGAUACCCUAGUAGUCC
This 786-nucleotide ribosomal RNA is filed under the name uncultured bacterium. RNAcentral describes it as "bacterial SSU rRNA". It matches the Rfam family "Bacterial small subunit ribosomal RNA", at positions 8 to 796 of the family's 1533-position model. The record is from RNAcentral.